Molecule: ribosomal RNA, 460 nt
Filed under: uncultured bacterium
Lineage: Bacteria
Description: partial 16S ribosomal RNA
Rfam family: Bacterial small subunit ribosomal RNA
Source: RNAcentral
CCUACGGGAGGCAGCAGUGAGGAAUAUUGGUCAAUGGACGAGAGUCUGAACCAGCCAAGUAGCGUGAAGGAUGACUGCCCUAUGGGUUGUAAACUUCUUUUAUAUGGGAAUAAAACGUUCCACGUGUGGGAUUUUGUAUGUACCAUAUGAAUAAGGAUCGGCUAACUCCGUGCCAGCAGCCGCGGUAAUACGGAGGAUCCGAGCGGUAUCCGGAUUUAUUGGGUUUAAAGGGAGCGUAGGAGGAUUGUUAAGUCAGUUGUGAAAGUUGACGGCUCAACUGUAAAAUUGCAGUUGAAACUGGCAGUCUUGAGGACAGUAGAGGGGGGCGGAAUUCGUGGUGUAGCGGUGAAAUGCUUAGAUAUCACGAAGAACUCCGAUUGCGAAGGCAGUUCACUGGACUUCAACUGACACUGAGGCUCGAAAGUGUGGGUAUCAAACAGGAUUAGAUACCCCUGUAGUC